RNAcentral lists this ribosomal RNA (2010 nucleotides) under Triticum aestivum (bread wheat). RNAcentral's name for it is "partial small subunit ribosomal RNA". The record is from RNAcentral. Lineage: Eukaryota; Viridiplantae; Streptophyta; Magnoliopsida; Poales; Poaceae.
AUGUCUGAGUUUCUGGAACUCGAGGCCCGGGAUGGGGUAAGGAUGACCUGGAACGUGAUACCCGGCACCAAGCAGGACGCUGCUAGCUGCGUCGUCCCUGUCUCGGCCAUAUACACUCCUCUGAACCCCAACCCUGCCAUUCCUGUUCUUCCUUAUGCCCCACUCCGCUGCCGCAUCUGCCGCUCCAUCCUCAACCCCUUCUCGGUCGCCGACUUCGGUUCAAAGAUGUGGCUCUGCCCAUUCUGCUUCCAGCGCAACCACUUCCCCCAGCAGUACUCCGCUAUUUCGCAAAGCAACCUACCUACCGAACUGUAUCCUGAAUGUUGUACUGUGGAGUACAUGGCCACUGCCGAAACAGGUCCUGUGUCGCCACCAGUCUUCCUCUUUGUUGUUGACACUUGCAUGAUCGAGGAGGAAAUCGGCUAUUUGAAGUCCGCUCUGGCGCAAGCAGUUGAGCUGUUGCCGGACCAAUCCCUCGUCGGAUUCAUUACUUUCGGGACAUAUGUGCAGGUGCAUGAAUUGGGUUUUGGCUUGUUGCCUAAGUCACAUGUGUUCAAGGGGACAAAGGAGAUUAAGAAGGAUCAAAUUCUUGAGCAAAUGGGUUUCCUUACAGGGAAAACAAAACCCACAACAGGUGUGAUCACCGGCGCAAGGGAUGGUGUUUCAGCAGAAAGUAUUGGUAGGUACCUGUUGCCUGCUUCGGAGUGUGAGUUUAUGUUGAAUUCACUUAUAGAAGAACUGCAAAAGGACCCGUGGCCGGUUUGUGCUGAUCAGCGAGCAUCAAGAUGUACUGGAGCUGCGUUAAGUGUUGCAGCCAGCCUCUUGGGGAUUUGUGUGCCUGGAUCAGGUGGUAGAAUUAUGGCAUUUAUAGGUGGCCCAUCUACAGAGGGACUUGGUUCUAUAAUAUCUAAGCCGUUAUCUGAUCCAAUUCGUUCGCACAAAGAUCUUGAUAAAGGUUCUGCUCCACUUUAUAACAAAGCCGUUAAAUUCUACGAGGAGAUUGGAAAUCAACUCGUGCAUCAAGGGCAUGUGCUUGAUCUAUUUGCAUGUGCACUUGACCAGGUUGGUGUUGCUGAGAUGAAGGUUGCAGUGGAGAGAACUGGGGGAAUAGUUGUGCUUGCAGAAAGUUUUGGCCAUUCUGUUUUUAAAGAUUCACUUAGACGCAUUUUUCAGUCAAGCGAUAGUGACCUUGGUGGCUUAUCGUUCAAUGGCAUAUUUGAGAUCAACUGCUCCAAGGAUGUCAAAAUUCAAGGCAUCAUUGGACCUUGUACUUCCCUGGAGAAGAAAGGUCCUCUAUCCUCAGAUACAGUUGUAGGUCAGGGGAACACUAGCGCUUGGAGGAUGUGUGGUCUAGAUAGGAAAACAUCACUAUGCCUAUUAUUUGAUAUGGCCAAAAAAGAUGCCCCGGACGCAAUUGGUCAAUCACAAAAUAAUCUGUUCUACUUCCAAUUCUUAACCUAUUAUCAGCAUCAUGAUGGGCAAAUGAGAUUGCGAUCGACUACAAUUUCAAGAAGAUGGGUUGCUGGUUCUGGCAGUGUGCAGGAGUUAAUAACUGGCUUUGACCAAGAGGCAGCAGCAGCAGUCAUGGCACGCUUGGUCUCAUUUAAGAUGGAAGCUGAGGUUGAUUUUGAUCCAGUAAGAUGGCUUGACCGAGCAUUGAUUAGUUUAUGUUCGAAAUUUGGAGACUAUCAGAAGGAAGCACCUUCAUCUUUCAGUUUGUCCCCACGUCUAUCAAUUUUUCCACAGUUUAUUUUUAAUUUGAGACGUUCUCAGUUUAUUCAGGUUUUCAACAAUAGUCCAGAUGAAACUGCAUAUUUCAGGAUGAUGUUAAACAGAGAAAAUGUAGCAAAUGCAGUUGUGAAGAUCCAGCCAUCACUUAUAUCAUAUUCAUUUCAGUCAGGUCCUGAGCCUGUUCUAUUGGAUGUAAGCGCAAUUGCUGGUGACAGGAUACUUUUGUUGGAUUCUUAUUUUACCGUUGUCAUAUUCCAUGGGAUAACGAUCGCACAGUAG